Molecule: ribosomal RNA, 402 nt
Filed under: uncultured Alphaproteobacteria bacterium
Lineage: Bacteria; Pseudomonadati; Pseudomonadota; Alphaproteobacteria
Description: partial 16S ribosomal RNA
Rfam family: Bacterial small subunit ribosomal RNA
Source: RNAcentral
UGGGGAAUAUUGGACAAUGGGCGAAAGCCUGAUCCAGCAAUGCCGCGUGAGUGAUGAAGGCCUUAGGGUUGUAAAGCUCUUUCGCCUGCGACGAUGAUGACGGUAGCAGGAGAAGAAGCCCCGGCUAAUUCCGUGCCAGCAGCCGCGGUAAUACGGAAGGGGCUAGCGUUGUUCGGAAUUACUGGGCGUAAAGCGCGCGUAGGCGGCUGGGUAAGUGUGGCGUGAAAGUCCUGGGCUCAACCUGGGGACGGCGCUGCAGACUGCUUGGCUGGAGUCCGGAAGAGGGUAGUGGAAUUCCGAGUGUAGAGGUGAAAUUCGUAGAUAUUCGGAGGAACACCGGUGGCGAAGGCGGCUACCUGGUCCGGUACUGACGCUGAAGUGCGAAAGCGUGGGGAGCAAACA